GACCUGCGGGAAAGUUGCUCCUGAGCGGUUGGAGGGGCGUCAUCGCCUCCUAGCAACGCUCCUAGCAACCGGGUAACAUCUGCUCCCUCUGGUCCAAUGCGAGCAGAGAACAGCUGCGCGCCCGCCUCGCGUUCGGAACCAGAGCGAGAGGCGCUUCAGAGAGCGGAGGGACGGACCUGCGGGAGCCAGGGCUGCCGGCCGAGCUGCAGUUGCCGCCGCCGCCGUCGCUGUCAGCGCCGUCUGAAGAGUGACAGCCGCAAAAGCAGGGAGCCCCGAACCCCGCGCCUUUCCCAGACAAGUGCAUGCGCCCGUCUCACGGUGAGUGGACCCAGCUCGCAAGGUAACCAUUCAUUCAUGAGCCAGAGGCUGUGAGAAAUGCUUGCUGUGCAAAGGGGAACUCUCACCAGAUUUUCUGAAGCUGUCCUAGAAAUACACUUUUCAGAUUGAUUCAGCAUCACCAGCCUAUCCAACCAAAGUAUUAACAUACACAUUAACAACGUCGAAAGUAGCCUACUUUAAGAGGAAAUAUGCAGAAGAAGAAGAUUUACAUCAAGAUUACCAUGGGUAUUUUCCAAAACACUUGAUACUGCCCGAAGACAGGACCUGCAUACUCAAACUGUCUCUGGAGAAGCUCAGGUUUCUUGAAGACCCAGAAACCUACCUGAGAAGGUCUGUGUUAAUUAACAAUUUGCUGAGGAAGAUCCACCUGGAGACGGAGAAAGAGAGCUAUGAAUACUUUAAAGAAGCUCCCUGCUAUAAGACUGCUUAUUCUGAUGCAAGAAAACGGCUGAAGUUUAUGGUACAGGAAUGCUGUUCUCAGUCUCUCUAUUACGAAGAGCUGCAUUCGUAUCAUAUUGUGCCUUAUGCUUCGGAAAAUGCCAUUUAUGGGAUGGGCUACACUAGCAGCCACUUGGAGCAGAAUUCUCAGUUGCUUAUUUAUAAAAUGAAUUAAAGUAACUGUUAAGUCCAUUGAUACUUUGUUUUCUAAAUGCCUGAACUGUUUAUAGUGAAGAUGUGAACGUAAGGCACUUGAGAUCCAAGAUGAGAUGCAUGCUAAACUGAUCGGAGAGAAUUCUGGUUAUUACUCAGCAGUCCUUAGUAUCAUCAAGUCAAACUGGAAAUAUGUCCACCCAUUAUUAAGUGGCAAGUAAGUGCUUUAGAAGCACCCCCUCCCCCAAUUUGUUUUAAGAUAAAGUAUAGGAAGAGACGAGACCGACUUCUUACACAGAUUUAAACAUUUUAAGCCCGUAUUUCCAAAUGCUGCCACUCACGGUGAAAAGUAACAGAUGAAACUGGUAAAAUCUUGUCCCUGAGGACUAAAGGUGGAACAAAUUUACAGUAAUUUUUCUGUAAACGAUGAGGAGAGAGGUAGGUUCUUGCUGAAAAGCUUUGCGGUGUUAAGCAUUGUGCCAAAUAAUCAUUUGACAUCAUUCUCCUUUUUAGCAUUCGUGGCAAUUCAAGAUGGGGCAGCCUUAUGGCAAUUUAACUGCUGAAUGUAACAACCAGACUACUCCAACCUGAUCCAUUUUGCUUUUCGUUUUUCUGGUCUCUUUUAAGGUGAAACUUCAUAAGAUAGCCUUGUGGAUGGGCUUAUCUCUAAGUUCUAGGGGCAGUUAAAAUUUGUGGCGGGUCUUUAGUUAAGAGUUUAAAUUUUAUUUAUGAUGUCAUUUUUUUUAAUAGGCUGUGAAGCUCAGGAAAAGAGUAGGCAGGGAAAAUUUGUUUUAAUAGGUUGAUAAUUUUUAAAAAAAUCUUAUCUGCAAAAGUUGGGGAGAACAACAGAAAUUCUACAUGAUGUUAUUUCUUUACUUAAGAGUGCAUUUAAGGCUGCCUGGAUGAAACUUUGCACUGAUUUUUGUACAAUAGUUGACCAAUCACUAUUUGACAAAAUGUUUCAGAAUGCCUUUGGGGUCGAGUUUAGAUCCUUCCCUAUAUUUUGCAACUUGAAAGCUAAUUAUUUAACAAGUUGGAUAGAUUCCUGAAAUCCUUAGAAGCAGUUCAUCAUUUUCUUUGAGGUUCGAGUGAGCUGUCUGAUUUAAAUGUCUUGAGUUAUGUCCUAUGGAGCAUACCAUUUCAAUAAUUGUCACUAACUGAUAAAGCAGAUUGGGAAAACUAGAUGCCAAAGGUAUAUUCAAGAAAAUACCAAAGACCCAAAGAUGAGUGUUGGCUCGAGUAUGGUAAUCAAGGUAAGAAUCUUACAUAAGGAUUGUACAGGACAUAGGAGAACAGCGUGGAAGGGUUUUGGGAAGAUUUGCCCACUAAUGUGCUUUCUGAGCGCUUUGUACAUCAUGAUGAUAAUCAAGGACACUGCUUUAAAUGAAGACAUGACAGGCCUUCGGUGAUCAUAUGUUUUGGCAAAUUUAAGUAUGGUGAUCUGUCAGCCUUGUAUCUUGCUUUGUUGAAAGCCAUCUUAUACCCAAGAAGGCCUUUUUCUCUUCAGGAGAAUUUUGUUUUUAGUUUUGAUUCACAACUCGCUCCCUCUAAUGAAUCAUAGAGGUGAUUAACAUGGAUGCUUUUGGUAUAAAGAAUAUCAGUACUCUAAUCAGCAUGCAUUGUUAGAACAACAUAGCUAUAUAAUUGGUAAAAGUGUCUGGUUUAUAUUUAAUUGCUCAAUCAAAACUAGGAAAAAAUGCUUAGGAACAAACUGAAAAAUUAUCAUUGAUGUUAAUUUCUAAAGGCAUUUUGGUAUAAAUGGUGAGAUAGCUUUGAAAUACAAAUAUACAUAUUUAAAAAUUAAUUUAAGGGCAAAAACUUGGCCACAAAGUUUAGAAACUUCAUUUUACUGCUUAUAAAAUACCUUAUUUUCCAGAAUGUGUCUUUUAAACUGUAGAUUUCUUAAACAGUGGGGGCAUUAUUUGAAUAGAUGCAAAACUUGUUAGGAUAAUAUUACUAUCAUAUAAUUAAAAAUAGAAUUAGCUCUCCAAUAGUUUAAAUUUUUUACUGGAAAGAAUAUUUGGCUCCAUUUAGGACAGUGUCUACAAGAAAACACACUAGUGCUAAUAGACGUGACUUACAAAAAUGUCACAUAGUACAAUUGUUUGAGGAGAGAAAUGCUCAUACUUUGCAAUAUUGAAGAGAGAGAGAAAAUUACCAAGACAGUGUGAAAUUGUAAUAUAUACUGUGUGUCGGAAAUCUUAAACAAAGCAAGAACUCUUAGUCACUGAACCAGUAAGAGAUGUGAAGUCUGUUUAUUUGGUGAUAUCGUUAACCCAGCUCUCUGAUCUAUACAUUCAUAUGUAGAGAAGGAACUUACAAACCAGCAGUAUUUCUGAAUAUGCUUUUAAAAAAUAUGUGCUGAUUUCAAAACAAGUUAUUUUAAAAAUAUCUUUUAGAGCAUCAAAUUUCUCUCCCAAUAAACAAUUCCUAGUUGAGUUGACUAAUAUUAUCUUGACUUUAAAAAAAUAAUAUUUAUAUUUCAACUAUGUAACUUUCUGAGCUAACCAAUAAGAUGGCUGAUUUAUCCGGCCAAACUGAAUCAUAGGGAGACCCUGCAUAGACCUGCUCCAGAUGUGAGAGGCCAAAUGGGCGACAAGAUACACCUUUUUUGAUCCUGGACAUCCUUUCUCUGGUGACCAGAGCCACUCUUAGAGUAAGACAGAGAGGGUGGGAAAUCUGAGUGCCUUUGGUAAUUUGGAUCACUCUUGUGGGUGCCCAAACAGCCAAAAGACCUAGUAAAAAAGAAGAAAUUUUUAAAAAGAGGAGAGGAAAAAUGAAGAGAUGAGGAAGGGGGAAAGAAGGGCAGAGAAAUAAGGAACAGGAUUAGUAAGUGAAAGAGAAAGUUGUUUCAUGUGGGGAGGGGUUGCUUGCUUAUUAUACUCAAUUUUGCUUUCCUGCCUGUUAUACAUCUAAACCCUGAGAUCCACAUUAUAUUAUCUUUUCUUUCAUUUGCUGAUGAUGCACAAGAUUAGAUUCUAUUCAGUAUAUGCAUUAUUUGAAAUGUGGUAUUUCUGUGAAACAUACCUGACACUGAGCUCCUGCGCAGAUGAGAAAAGGAAAAAUAGAAAUUAAGUUGAGGAAAAGACUAAAUGGCGAGCCUAUGUAUACAUGGGUAAGCUCGAAUGCAGGAUCAGAUUCCAAUGUAUAUUCCUAGAUUUAAUAAAUUCUCGUGCUGGAGGACUUGGAAUUAAGUGCAAUUCCCCACUAUUAAUUGAGCAACUACUCUGAGCCAGGCACUGUGCCAGGGUUGAGGAUUUACUA
This is an RNA transcript of Myotis daubentonii (Daubenton's bat), 4194 nucleotides long. It is a transcript of the gene named SERTA domain-containing protein 4-like, with no coding region annotated. The record is from RefSeq and is a predicted model, not a curated record. Lineage: Eukaryota; Metazoa; Chordata; Mammalia; Chiroptera; Vespertilionidae.